CAACAUUCCGAAAGGGAUGCUAAUACCGAAUGUGCUCCCUCCUCCGCAUGGAGGAGGGAGGAAAGAUGGCCUCUGCUUGCAAGCUAUCGCUGGAAGAUGGGCCCGCGUCUGAUUAGCUAGUUGGUGGGGUAACGGCUCACCAAGGCGAUGAUCAGUAGCCGGUCUGAGAGGAUGAACGGCCACAUUGGGACUGAGACACGGCCCAAACUCCUACGGGAGGCAGCAGUGGGGAAUCUUCCGCAAUGGACGAAAGUCUGACGGAGCAACGCCGCGUGAGUGAUGAAGGUCUUCGGAUUGUAAAACUCUGUUGUUAGGGACGAAAGCACCGUGUUCGAACAGGUCAUGGUGUUGACGGUACCUAACGAGGAAGCCACGGCUAACUACGUGCCAGCAGCCGCGGUAAUACGUAGGUGGCAAGCGUUGUCCGGAAUUAUUGGGCGUAAAGAGCAUGUAGGCGGGCUUUUAAGUCUGACGUGAAAAUGCGGGGCUUAACCCCGUAUGGCGUUGGAUACUGGAAGUCUUGAGUGCAGGAGAGGAAAGGGGAAUUCCCAGUGUAGCGGUGAAAUGCGUAGAUAUUGGGAGGAACACCAGUGGCGAAGGCGCCUUUCUGGACUGUGUCUGACGCUGAGAUGCGAAAGCCAGGGUAGCAAACGGGAUUAGAUACCCCGGUAGUCCUGGCCGUAAACGAUGGAUACU
Molecule: ribosomal RNA, 696 nt
Filed under: uncultured bacterium
Lineage: Bacteria
Description: bacterial SSU rRNA
Rfam family: Bacterial small subunit ribosomal RNA
Source: RNAcentral